UACGGAGGAUGCGAGCGUUAUCCGGAUUUAUUGGGUUUAAAGGGUGCGUAGGCGGAUUUUUAAGUCAGCGGUAAAAUGUCCGGGCUCAACCCGGGCCGGCCGUUGAAACUGGCUGUCUUGAGAUGUCGAGAGGUAUGCGGAAUGCGCAGUGUAGCGGUGAAAUGCUUAGAUAUUGCGCAGAACUCCGAUUGCGAAGGCAGCAUACCGGCGGCGAUCUGACGCUGAGGCACGAAAGCGUGGGUAUCGAACAGG
This 252-nucleotide ribosomal RNA is filed under the name uncultured Bacteroidales bacterium. Its description in RNAcentral is "partial 16S ribosomal RNA". It matches the Rfam family "Bacterial small subunit ribosomal RNA", at positions 524 to 776 of the family's 1533-position model. The record is from RNAcentral. Lineage: Bacteria; Pseudomonadati; Bacteroidota; Bacteroidia; Bacteroidales.